RNAcentral lists this ribosomal RNA (252 nucleotides) under uncultured bacterium. RNAcentral's name for it is "partial 16S ribosomal RNA". It matches the Rfam family "Bacterial small subunit ribosomal RNA", at positions 524 to 776 of the family's 1533-position model. The record is from RNAcentral.
UACGAAGGGUGCAAGCGUUACUCGGAAUUACUGGGCGUAAAGCGUGCGUAGGUGUUUGUUAAGUCUGAUGUGAAGGCCCUGGGCUCAACCUGGGAACGGCAUUGGAAACUGGCUUACUAGAGUGCGGUAGAGGGGUGUGGAAUUCCCGGUGUAGCAGUGAAAUGCGUAGAUAUCGGGAGGAACAUCUGUGGCGAAGGCGACACCCUGGACCAGCACUGACACUGAGGCACGAAAGCGUGGGGAGCAAACAGG